GACGAACGCUGGCGGCGUGCUUAACACAUGCAAGUCGAACGGAAAGGCCCCUUUGGGGGUACUCGAGUGGCGAACGGGUGAGUAACACGUGAGUAACCUGCCCUUGACUUCGGGAUAACUUCAGGAAACUGGGGCUAAUACCGGAUAGGAAUCCUUACUGCAUGGUGGGGGUUGGAAAGCUUCGGCGGUUUUGGAUGGACUCGCGGCUUAUCAGCUUGUUGGUGGGGUAGUGGCUUACCAAGGCUUUGACGGGUAGCCGGCCUGAGAGGGCGACCGGCCACAUUGGGACUGAGAUACGGCCCAGACUCCUACGGGAGGCAGCAGUGGGGAAUAUUGCACAAUGGGCGGAAGCCUGAUGCAGCAACGCCGCGUGCGGGAUGACGGCCUUCGGGUUGUAAACCGCUUUCAGCAGGGGCGAAGCUUGUGGUGACGGUACCUGCAGAAGAAGCACCGGCUAACUACGUG
This 465-nucleotide ribosomal RNA is filed under the name uncultured bacterium. RNAcentral describes it as "partial 16S ribosomal RNA". It matches the Rfam family "Bacterial small subunit ribosomal RNA", at positions 28 to 507 of the family's 1533-position model. The record is from RNAcentral.